CGGUUUAGAGGUUGAAAAGUAUUCCCGCUCCAACGCGCUGUCUUAAUGACAGGCCGAGAAAUGUGGGCGACCGCGGGUCCCACCUAAAUCG
Molecule: non-coding RNA, 91 nt
Filed under: unclassified sequences
Description: skipping-rope RNA
Rfam family: skipping-rope RNA
About the family: Firmicutes, Fusobacteria, AlphaProteobacteria, Spirochaetes. Downstream gene
Source: Rfam by way of RNAcentral